CUUUACUGUAGCCUGGUAUUGGGUUCGGGCUUUGACUGCGCAGGAUAGGUGGGAGACUAUGAAGCUGCCCUUGUGGGGGCAGUGGAGUCAUCAGUGAGAUACCACUCUGUCAAGGCUAGAAUUCUAACCGUCUGCCGUUAUCCGGCGACGGAACAGUAUCAGGUGGGCAGUUUGACUGGGGCGGUCGCCUCCUAAAUGGUAACGGAGGCGCGCAAAGGUUCCCUCAGGCUGUUGGAAAUCAGCCGAAGAGUGUAAAGGCAGAAGGGAGCUUGACUGCAAGAGCAACAACUCAAGCAGGGACGAAAGUCGGCCUUAGUGAUCCGACGGCGCUGAGUGGAAGGGCCGUCGCUCAACGGAUAAAAGUUA
This 366-nucleotide ribosomal RNA is filed under the name uncultured organism. Its description in RNAcentral is "bacterial LSU rRNA". It matches the Rfam family "Bacterial large subunit ribosomal RNA", at positions 2099 to 2465 of the family's 2925-position model. The record is from RNAcentral.